This 858-nucleotide ribosomal RNA is filed under the name Triticum aestivum (bread wheat). RNAcentral describes it as "partial small subunit ribosomal RNA". Lineage: Eukaryota; Viridiplantae; Streptophyta; Magnoliopsida; Poales; Poaceae. The record is from RNAcentral.
AUGGAUAUGGAACAUCAAAUACCAAAAAAAUUAGGUUUACUUGCUACUCAUGGAGAUGGGGAACCUCCUAAAACCCUCGAUGCUCAUUAUGUGAAAGAUAUUAUGUACUACUUUGAUAAUCCCGAGAAAACCCCAUUCAAUUUUGUAAUGGGAGACACGUUGGAUCAACGUGAAUACUUUAGGGAUUAUCGCUUGACUCAAAAAGGGAAACUAUUAUGGGAUCAAAUUUAUAUGUUGAAGUGGUAUGCUAGGCAACUAUGCUUGAGAUAUGAUUAUACUUGUUGCUCUAGGAUGAAGGCUCCACACCUUCCCUUUUCAUGUAAAUUUAAUGAUAAUGAAACCUUGGCUUCUUAUGCUAGAGGUAUAUAUGAUUACUAUGAUGUGGAACAAAUAGAAGAAUUUGUUGCUUUUAAGGGUGCAUGUGAAAUUGAAUCUUUGUUUAAAGAAUUUGAAGAUUUUGAUGAUUCAGUCUAUAGACCUGAAAAUUUAGCUAUCCUUAAAUAUUGCUAUGAGAAUUAUGAAUACAAUGCCGAUAUUGAUGCGUUUAUUGAGAAAGUCUCCGCUGUCCAAGAAGAGACUAAUAUUUUGCAGGAGUCUAUGGAAGAAGAAAUUAAUGACAUUGUGAGCUCAUUGGAUGAAAAAGAUGAGGAGGAGUGCGAAGAACAAAAGGAGGAAGAGCGGAUUAGCUACCCGUGCCCACCUUCUAAUGAGAGUAACUCUUCAACUCAACAUUUUUUAAUUUCCCUUCGUGCUUACCAAAGGAUGAUUGCUAUGAUGAUUGUUAUGAUCCCGUUGAUUCUCUUGAAAUACCCCUUUUUGAUGAUGCUUGCUAUGCUUGUGGCCAACAUGCCAAUAUGA